AUGGCUUGGGCUGGAAGGGAUCUCAAGGAUCAUGGAGUUCCAACCCCCCUGCCACGGGCAGGUCACCAACCUCCAUAUCUAAUACUUGACCAGGCUGACCAGCUGGCCUUGGGAAUGCAGAGAAGGGUUGCAAAGGUUCUAUUUGGGCGGUUUACUGAAGGAAGCUGAAAGUCUUACACAACUCUGGCUCCAUUAACUGGGAUUUUCAGAUGUUUAUUUAUAACCAAUUAUAAAACCGACUCCGGCCAACAACUGAGUAGCGGGUGGCCG
Molecule: long non-coding RNA, 270 nt
Filed under: Meleagris gallopavo (turkey)
Lineage: Eukaryota; Metazoa; Chordata; Aves; Galliformes; Phasianidae
Description: lncRNA (ENSMGAG00000020974.1)
Source: RNAcentral